GGGGAGGGGGUGGCAUAAUUUCCAUUUAUAAAGAGGAGAUAUUCACUGGAAUAUAAGGAUAGAGAGAGCAUUACAUACGGGUGGGGAUCACGCUCACAUAAAAGAAAAAAUUUCCAUUUAUAUAUUCCAUUCACACGUAAAUACAGGGGACGAACUGAAAAAAGGAAGCUUCUUCUUCAUUCUUUUCUUCUUGGGCACACAAAAAUGGCGGACCCAUGAUAAUCGGGUUGUUUUCCAUGGAAUAAAGGGGGAAAUUCAUCUUUCUUCUGAGAUACACAGAUAACUUCACUGAAGAAAGGAAAAGGGGACUCCAUUUUUGGGUUUCUUCUUCGCAAUACACAUCACACAAAGAAACACUCAUAUCGUUACACACAGAAUACAUAAAAGGAGCAGGAUUUUCACAGGUGGGUCACGGUUCUGGCAACGUUCGGCUAGAGAUAAGCUUUUCCCGGCGAGUCCUUCGCCAAAAUCGGUUAUUAUUUCGGUCAAAUUCAGGUAUUACACGUUUGAAUUCCAUCCCAGUCCCAGUCCCAAGAUACCAUAAAAUCUUUUAGUUUCCUUAGGUUUUUCAGUCGAAAUCUCACCGGAAAAGGUCAAGUGCGCCGGAAUCCAAUCUAUUUCAUCAGUUCUUGCUCAUCCAAGAUCACUGGAGCUCCAGUGAAUCGGAAGCGGCGACCCUGCUCUGAUUCCGUCAUGACUCAUUUAGGACUCAUUUGUUUACACUUAAUAAUGAAGUUAUGAAUUUGAAUGGUUUAGACUUCACAUCAUUAAGUAUAUUUGUCUUUUAUUAAGGUUUUAACUGGUCUAAAUAGCUUUUAAUCAUUCAGAUCUAGAACCAAGUCUUAAUAGAUGAUAUUCUGGUGUUGGAUAAUAUUCACUACUCUAUUCAUAAUCAGUAAUCGCUACCACUAACCACUUCUGUCACCGUCACCAUUGUUAACUAUCACCCACCUCCACCAUCGAAAAAAAAAUACCGCUACUAACCACAAUUGUCGAUUACUACCACACCUACUACCUCUUUUAUUUUAAUUAUAUUCACUGCCACCAUUGCCGUCAAUAACACCACAAUUUGCAACCACUAUCGUCCAAUCCCUACUACCAACCAACUCAUCUAUCACAACUAGCACCAUUACUAACUACCACUAAUACAUCACAACCUCUACAAAUUCUUUGACUGCCAUCACCAUUGUCACUAGUAACGCCAUAUCUACCACCACUUCAACCAGUACCAUCGCUAUAAUUUAUCUCUAGUAACAACCAUCUCCACCAUCACAACAAAUAACAUCUCCAACUGGCACCAACAUAUCGUCAAUCAUUAUGCAUUCAUAUUUCAGCCAAUACAAUCAACACCUUAAACUACUAACAUCAAAUAACAUCACAUCACAACAACCACCACCACCAUUAAUCGCCACCAUCGUAACAGUCACUACAAUACCAACCAUCACAAUUAUCACCACCAACAUUAUUAAUCACUAACAUCAAUCAUUGUCACCGCAACCACCAUUAUAAGCCAUCUCCACUAUCACUAACAAACAUAAAUAUUUUUUCUCAAUCAAAUACUAAUAAUUUUGUUGUAUUAAAUUACAUACUUUUUUAAUACAUAAUUAAUUUUUUAUUUGAAUUAUAUUUUUUAUUUUAUUAUGUAUAUACAAAUAAUUUUUUUUACACAUUCAGAUGUUGAAAAAUAAACAAUCCUAAUCGUUCAGUUUUUAGAUCUAGAGACAACAUCUUAAUUAUUCAGAUGUGCAUUCAGAUUCAGACGUCUGAAUCUUAAAAAAAAACAAAUGAAGCCUUAAUCUUAAGUUGAAAUCUGCGGUUUAAGUUUGUAUUGAUGUUUCCAGUUGUUUUUUUAGAUCAGUUCGAGGUUGAAUUCAACUGGAACUGGGAGGUUCGAUGUUCUGAAGUCGGGUCGAGGCAUUCCGGUCAGAGCUCUAAUCAAAAUACUUCAACAGAUUGAAAUAAAAGCUGAGGUCCAAUUCUCUCAUAUCUCUUUUAAUUUCUAUGUGAUUUUGGAUGUAAUUCGAUGUCAUUGUUCUUGUGGUUGAUGAUUUUUUUGAUGUUUGGUGUUGUUUACUUUGAAUAGUCGAUCUCGUUGGUAUAAAUGUGAUAACAAUAUAAGUUUGGGAUUGUAUUAAAAAUAAAAAUUGGGUGGGAAUUUAAACUUUGAUAAAAGGCGAACAUUGGUUUAUUUUGAUUCAUCGAUUGUGGUUUGAUUUAAGAUGAAUGUGAUUUUGUACAACCCGAUAGUGUCAUGUUUAUGCCGAAAUCGAUAUACAAACAUAAGUUGGGUAGGCAAACUCAGGAAUGGUCAUUUGUUGGAUGUGUGAAUGUUUGUGAAUGGUUCUAUCUAUUUUAGUGCACAAAAUUGAGAAAAUGUAUUCAUUUGCCGGGGAAUGCCCCGAGGUCACAUUGUACUUAUUUGUCGGGGAAUGUCCCAAGUAUUUUGUACUCAGAAGACGUCCGUGAUGAAGGUCCGAGGCAUCGGGUAAAGCAUGGGGCGUAGUUUAGGAUUAGUGUAGGUUUCCUUUUCAGUACCUUUUUAUUUCGGGUUGUAAUAAUUGGAUUGGAUACAUAUUUUGAAUUUGUUUUGUUUGUUUGUUUGUUUGAUUUUUUUUGUGUGUUUUUGUGUGGUUUAUACAUUUUGUAAUGUCAAAUUAGCCGAUAUGCUCCACCAAGCGACCAUGGUCGAACUACGGGACUGAAAGGUGCCUAACACCUUCCUCUCGGUCAACAAAAUUCCUUAACUGGAAUCUCUGUUUGUAAACCAGUCUUAAAGAGUCAAAAACAGUUUUGAAAAAGGAUUUCCAAAGGUGACUUGGCACACCCGAUUAUGCCAAGUGGCGACUCUAAAAUUAAUUGUAAAAGAUCCUUUUCGGAAUAAAAUUUUCAUCUUUUUGUCCCUUAAUAAUCAAACCCUUUCAAACUUAAAAUUAAUUCUUUUCAGUUAAAAAAGGGGUGUGACAGGAAGUAAUAAGUUAGUUUUUUCGGAGCCUUCAAUUAAUCUUGUAUUACCAAAUAUAGUAUUAACAUUGGCUUCUUUCAUCACCAAAUAAGAGAAAUAUUUCUUAUCUUUUAAAAUAGUAUGUGUGGUAGCACUAUCUAUAAGACAUAUAUCACCGUAACUGAUUUUGGAUCCAACUAAUGAUUGAAGAAUUUCCAUAUUCUUAUAAGGAAUCUCGUGCUGAUAACGUGUUGAGAAUAAAUACACUAUAAUAAAUUAAAAUGAAAAGGAAGAAGAGAGAGAUGUAUAGAUAUAAGAAUAUGAUUAUAUUUUUCAUUUGGUGUGUUUUUACAAUGUAGUAUGAAAUGUCUUUUAUAGACAAUAGUAUGUGUAAUAAGUGUAGUAUGUGAAUGAUAUCCACAAAUGAAAUAACUUCUUUACAUGCUACAGUAGUAUAUGUAAAAUAUUUAAUAUGUGAAGUAUGGGUAGUAUAGUAUGUGAACAUCGACAAAAUAACUUAUUUAUGAUAAAAGCAAGUUAAAAAUGAAGUUGUUGUGCUUAGAAAAAAGUUGAAGUUUAUAAGUUAAAGAAGUUUAAUUCUUUUAAGUUACNNNN
This 3556-nucleotide long non-coding RNA is filed under the name Capsicum annuum. Its description in RNAcentral is "long non-coding RNA (CANN_LNC013390)". The record is from RNAcentral. Lineage: Eukaryota; Viridiplantae; Streptophyta; Magnoliopsida; Solanales; Solanaceae.